Molecule: ribosomal RNA, 460 nt
Filed under: uncultured bacterium
Lineage: Bacteria
Description: partial 16S ribosomal RNA
Rfam family: Bacterial small subunit ribosomal RNA
Source: RNAcentral
CCUACGGGUGGCAGCAGUGAGGAAUAUUGGUCAAUGGACGAGAGUCUGAACCAGCCAAGUAGCGUGAAGGAUGACUGCCCUAUGGGUUGUAAACUUCUUUUAUAAAGGAAUAAAACGAGGCACGUGUGCCUUUUUGCAUGUACUUUAUGAAUAAGGAUCGACUAACUCCGUGCCAGCAGCCGCGGUAAUACGGAGGAUCCGAGCGUUAUCCGGAUUUAUUGGGUUUAAAGGGAGCGUAGAUGGGUUGUUAAGUCAGUUGUGAAAGUUUGCGGCUCAACCGUAAAAUUGCAAUUGAUACUGGCAGUCGUGAGUACAGUUGAGGUAGGCGGAAUUCGUGGUGUAGCGGUGAAAUGCUUAGAUAUCACGAAGAACCCCGAUUGCGAAGGCAGCUUACUAAACUGUGACUGACAUUGAUGCUCGAAAGUGUGGGUAUCAAACAGGAUUAGAUACCCCAGUAGUC